GGGGCAGGAGACCGGAGGGAGUUGAGGUUUUGCACCCGAUAAGGAGACGCAUAAAGGGAACGGGUGGGGACACAGGGCCCCUGCAGCCUCAGGAGGAUCAGCAGUGGCCUGGUUUACUCGUGUCGUCAUUCGUCGUGGGCACCUUGUCCCCGGGGCCGGCCAGUUACUUGGCCUCCUGGCUCAUCAUCCUGCCGGAAGCAUCUCCAGCUUGGGGAUGUUGGAGGGUCCCUGGCCCCACCUGGCUGGGGAUGGAGUGUAAGCCGAGGAGAUGCCAUGUGAGGGUGCAGCGAGGAGUUGGGCUGUCUAAAAGCAAAGAAAGAGAUUGCAUCAGACACCGCAUCUGCUGACACCUUGUUCUUGGACUUCCAGCUUCCAAAACCGCGAGAAAUAAAUGUCUGUGUCUAAACCCCAACCCUACCACCUCAACUGCCGUGUGUGGUGUUUUGUGAUGGCAGCCCCAGCUGACUGAGACACCUGGUUAGACCGGAAUAAGCAGUACCUGAGUCCCUUAAGAGUGGCCAAAGAAGAAAGAAUCCACUGAGUUGACAUUCCAGUUCAGCUGCAAUCGGUAGCAGUCACCAUUGAACAUCCUUGAAGCAAUUCUUCCAAAAUUACCUUGCAUCAAAGACUGCACAAGAACUGCUCUAAGCGGAAGGACUGAUGUCGGCAACCAGGGUUCCACCAGGGGCUGCAGACAGCCCUUGACCUUCAGAAGUAACCAAAUUUACUCACGUAGGCCAGGAAUUUCUAUGACGUGUUCCAAAUUCAGCCUCUCACUGAACACUUCCAGAGCAAGGCAACAUAAACAUCUGCAAGAAGAACAUUGUGUGAGAAAUAUCAAGUGAGAGUGGAAGAGUCUGCGGAGGGCCUCCCUGGGGCUCACCUGUGCUUUUGCCUGAGCUUCACCGUGUCAAGGAUGCAGCACUUUUUCCCUCUGGAGGAAGCAGCUUUCACCUUGGAAGAAUCUUGACCUUGCCAUUCAAAGUCACCAGACAGGGAAUCUGCCAGUGCCUUGAUCUUAGACUUCCCAGCUUCUGUAACUGUGAGCAAUAAAUGUAUGCUGCUUAUAAACUAUCCAGUCUCAUGCAUUUUGUUAUAGCAAUAUAAACAGAUGAAGACAGACAUAAACAUAUCUUUUUGAGAGAUGCAAUGCAACCCAUACCACCAGGAUUGCCACAUGUUUGCUGAUUUCACCUGGUAGCAAGGCUUAGCUAUCUUGGCUUGAAUGUAAUACCUCCAUCUUUUCUCUUGGUCAUCCUCUUUAAGCAGAGGACUUUUAUCUACCCAAGCAGAAUCCUGUGUUCUUGCUAUUCGAAGUGCAGCCCAGCCUCCUGCAGCCACCACAUCACUUGUGAUGCUUGACAGAAAUGCAGACUCUCUGUUCCCACCUCAAACCUACUGACUUGGGAAUCUGCAGCUUACCAAGAUCUCCAGGUGAUCCACGUACACGUCAAACUUUGAAAAGCAGUGGUUUG
RNAcentral lists this long non-coding RNA (1475 nucleotides) under Homo sapiens (human). RNAcentral's name for it is "HSALNT0338193". The record is from RNAcentral. Lineage: Eukaryota; Metazoa; Chordata; Mammalia; Primates; Hominidae.